AACGAACGCUGGCGGCAUGCCUAACACAUGCAAGUCGAACGAGACCUUCGGGUCUAGUGGCGCACGGGUGCGUAACGCGUGGGAACCUGCCCUUAGGUUCGGAAUAACUCCCCGAAAGGGGUGCUAAUACCGGAUAAUGUCUUCGGACCAAAGAUUUAUCGCCUUUGGAUGGGCCCGCGUUGGAUUAGCUAGUUGGUAGGGUAAAAGCCUACCAAGGCGACGAUCCAUAGCUGGUCUGAGAGGAUGAUCAGCCACACUGGGACUGAGACACGGCCCAGACUCCUACGGGAGGCAGCAGUGGGGAAUAGUGGACAAUGGGCGAAAGCCUGAUCCAGCAAUGCCGCGUGAGUGAUGAAGGCCUGAGGGUUGUAAAGCUCUUUUACCCGGGAUGAUAAUGACAGUACCGGGAGAAUAAGCUCCGGCUAACUCCG
Molecule: ribosomal RNA, 431 nt
Filed under: uncultured bacterium
Lineage: Bacteria
Description: partial 16S ribosomal RNA
Rfam family: Bacterial small subunit ribosomal RNA
Source: RNAcentral